UGUGAGGGCUGGGCCAAAACCUUCCACUCCUCCUGCCAGGCCUGGGACCUGGGGGGUAGCGCUGUCCGCAGACACUUGGAGGAAACCUCACGGUCCAAGCCCGCUUAUGGUUUAUAUACUGAGAAGGGAGUCUCCCAGGAGAAAAUCCGGAGGAGAGAAGAGGAGUUCAUAGCCCCAAACAUUUUUCAUCAUCAUUGCAGUAGGGCGUCAAUCUGCCAUCUGUAACCCCAGACUGUAAAGUGGACCUAGCUGUCUUUAUUGUUUCUGAUUUGAAUUAAUUUCUGGCUGAAACCUACAUUCCACUGACUGUUGGGAAAUGUUACCAUUGGGUUCCUUCCCUUACCUCCGUGAUGUGCCAUAGUUCUGGGAUCCUACAAAGUGCUGACCUGUCUAGAUUGGAAUGUCCAGGUGACCACUGAGGCAUCUACUGUCCAGGUCCACGUGGGGCCGUGGUCUGGUGGGUCUCUGCUGCUUGUGUCCCACACUUGAGGCACAGAAUUCUUUGACUAGGCUGCCUGGCCCUUCUGCCUGGAUGCACCACUCCUCUGGGGUCCUGCUGCCCCCCAGUACUCCCCACCGCCUGGUCUCUGCCAUGCCUGGACGCACAGUCCUCUUUCCUCUCCUCCUAAGCUGGAAGGAGCCAUCUUUUCCCAGGAUGGGAGUGAAACUCCAAACUCAACUUGGCUCCUUCAAGAUAUCCCGUUUCUAUCAGCAAGGCCUGUUCUCCCUCUUAACUCUUCCCAGACCCCGAGGAAUCACUUGCGGGAGACAAAAGCCAGAAGGACUGUGGAUGACUUCUGCCUUUCAGCCUGCUCCCACCUCGUGAGGCAAGAAGCACGCAAGAGACGGUCAGCUUGCAUGAAGGGAGGAGAAAAUAGAGGAAAAACUUAAUACCUCAAAAUACGGUCUAGCCACACGAGAGAUUUCAGAACACCGAGUGGAAGGCAUCAGGGAAUUCAUAGUUCCGUCAGAGAGAAGGUGCAAAUUCUGAAGUACUUGGCAUUUACAAAUGGAUUGUUUCAAACCCACACUGGUCAAUCAAUUGUUUGGAAUUUGAAAUGUAUUUUUUUUUUUUUUCAAAAAAAUGUUAUAAACACUGGUUUGCUUUCCAGGCAAGCCCAGAGAUACUAUGGUGAAAACAAAACUUUUUAUUUCUCUUAAUACCAUUGGAACAGAGAAGAAAUGCUAACAAAGUCAUAGCUUCAAUCAUAUUUGUUUAGUUUUGUUUGAGAUCUGAAGAAAUAGUUUGGAUUUUUCAAAGGUUUUAGACGCUUAGGGAAUCAGCUGCUUGUGUUAUGUCCAUUUUUACUUCCUUCUUUCUUCUUGAUGCUAUAGUCAGUGCCAAUAAUGUUGGGGAUGUCAGCUACAAUCAUAGGCAAGGGAGAAAGGGCUCAAAAACACCAGAAACAGAAUGGGAAAAUUUUGAGAGAAACUGAGGUAUCUUACAGGAAAUUAAAGAGAAACGGGAAGGAGAAAAGGAGUCAAAGUGAAGGGUGUGCUUGUGAUAAGGAGGUUCCUUGAGGUGUAGUUAAUGGAGUUGAGAAAUGAGGAAGACAUGCAGAAUCACUCCAAGGAGGAGGCAGGAGAGAAGUGUGCAGAAAUCAAAACCCAAACGCCUUCAGGGCCCAGACAGGUACAGGAAAGGAGCAGGCUGGGGAUGAAAGAAAGGGAAAUAGUGGGGAGCGUGGCAAACCAGAGUUCAGGAAAUUCUAAUUUGAUUUUUUGUAAAACAUCAGUGUGAGCCUAACCAAAUACCGCUGCAAGCUGAGUUGUAUCUGUUGGCCACCUUUCAGAAUCUUUGGCAAAGAGAUUAAAAGCAGGAGAUCUGGAGUCAGACUGCCUGGGUUCAUCACCUGCUUCACCACUUAGUGGUCUGUGACCUCACUUUCCUCGUCUGUAUACCGAUUUUUCUGACUUCAUAGGAUUGUUGUGAAGUAUGACAACAUAGGUGAGAGG
This is a long non-coding RNA of Equus quagga, 1956 nucleotides long. RefSeq lists it as uncharacterized. The transcript has 3 exons. The record is from RefSeq and is a predicted model, not a curated record. Lineage: Eukaryota; Metazoa; Chordata; Mammalia; Perissodactyla; Equidae.